CAGCUCAGCAGAGUGUGAGAGUGUGGGCUCUGAAGCCCCAGUGCCUGGGUUCACGUCGUCCUCUGCCAUUUGUGCCAGGUUACGAUCUCUCUGGAGCGCCAGUUUCUCCACCCAUAAGAUGGGGAUGACGAGAGUUCCUGCCUCACGGAGUUGCUGAGCAAUCAAAGAAGUUAGUGCACAUGACACACUUAGAGCAACGCUGAGCACACAGCAAGUACUCAGUGACCAGAGAAGUCUACUCUUUCUCAGAUGCAGAGCCAAUAAUAUUCAUUGUGCCCUGUGACAAGGACAUGAUGAUCCCCAUUUGACAGCAGCCACCCCAUUUCCUGCUGCCCCAUAAGGAGGUCCUGGGAACGGGUAACGUUGCUUUGCUGACAAAUAACCUCUGGAGUAGCUUUCGGAACAAAAGACAUCACAGCACCAGGCCCACUGCCAGAUCUCUCAGACUGUCACCUCUCUGCCUGCUGGUGGGCACCAAAGAUGGCUCAGAAACCUGAAAUAUGCACAUCAUCUUUGACCCAGUAACUCUGCUUGGAGAAAUUUAUCCUGAAG
RNAcentral lists this long non-coding RNA (552 nucleotides) under Equus asinus (donkey). RNAcentral describes it as "lncRNA (ENSEASG00005026178.1)". Lineage: Eukaryota; Metazoa; Chordata; Mammalia; Perissodactyla; Equidae. The record is from RNAcentral.